Molecule: long non-coding RNA, 645 nt
Organism: Centruroides sculpturatus (bark scorpion)
Lineage: Eukaryota; Metazoa; Arthropoda; Arachnida; Scorpiones; Buthidae
Exons: 3
Source: RefSeq, a predicted model, not a curated record
UUCCUUUCCUCUAUGAAUAUAUUAGUAUGAACUUGAGGUAAUGACCUAUCAAAUUUAUUAUUCACUUUUAGAUAUUAUCAAUUCUAGUGGAAAUGACGAAGAAUCACCCCCGUAUCCAAAUUUGAUUUUGACUUACUUUUUCCCACUUACUUGCCAACCAAUCCAGUUACGACUAGUUUUAUUAGGUCAGCUGAGACGGGAAGUUAAAUCAUAUAAAUAGAAGGCCUGUCUCUUGUUAUGCAUCACAACAACCAACUCUCUCGUACAGUAAAGUUCUAACUACCUACUCGACUAAAAAUGAAAUCCUGGGUAUUUUUCUUUGCUAUGAUGCUCCUUGUAGCAUCCACUUAUGCACAAGGAGACUUCGGAGGUUUUGGAACAGGAGACUUCGGAAAUUUUGGAGGUGAAGGAGGUGAAGGUGGUGACAUAGAUGAUGCAUCUCUCGACACCUUAGGAUCAGAUGUUGGCGGUUUCGAUCAAGGAUCGUUUGGUGACAGCUCUUAAAGUAUUAUCCUAGGCGAAUAAAGAUGAAAUCUCCGAACUAUAAUUAGAUAUCAGAAAACGGUCUCUGAUAACUAGAUCUAUUCCUGAUCAACUGUCAUGUGACAUGUACAUAUUUGCAUGUAAAAACUCUGUACAUUUCCU